Molecule: ribosomal RNA, 477 nt
Filed under: Teleopsis rubicunda
Lineage: Eukaryota; Metazoa; Arthropoda; Insecta; Diptera; Diopsidae
Description: partial 16S ribosomal RNA
Rfam family: Bacterial large subunit ribosomal RNA (bases 241-399)
Source: RNAcentral
UUAAAAUUUUUUUAGAAUUUUAUUUUUUAGUUAAAAAGCUAAAAUAAAUUCAAAAGACGAGAAGACCCUAUAAAUCUUAAUUAUUUAAUAAUUUUAAUUUGUUUUGAUUAUUUUUAUUAUUAUUGUUUAAAUAAUUUUAUUGGGGUGAUAUUAAAAUUUAUAAAACUUUUAAUUAGUAAAUUCAUUAAUUUAUGAAUGAUUGAUCCAUUUUUAGUGAUUAGAAAAUUAAGUUACUUUAGGGAUAACAGCGUAAUUUUUUUGGAGAGUUCUUAUCGAUAAAAAAGUUUGCGACCUCGAUGUUGGAUUAAGAUUCAUAUUUAAAUGCAGAAGUUUAAAUAUUAAGUCUGUUCGACUUUUAUUUCUUACAUGAUCUGAGUUCAAACCGGUGUAAGCCAGGUUGGUUUCUAUCUUUGAUUUAUAAAAUAUUUUAGUACGAAAGGAAUAAAUAUUUGUUAUUAAGUAAUUUUUUUUGUGAAU